This 893-nucleotide long non-coding RNA is filed under the name Zonotrichia albicollis (white-throated sparrow). Its description in RNAcentral is "lncRNA (ENSZALG00000013324.1)". Lineage: Eukaryota; Metazoa; Chordata; Aves; Passeriformes; Passerellidae. The record is from RNAcentral.
GAUUGCCAGUGCCUGAGGAGACCCUGCUGCUCUGAGGGUUUUGCUUUAUUGCUCAUUAGGGGCCAAGAAGCUGCAGCUGAGCUGGAGUCAGCUCUUGGCUUUCCUGUGCUCUGGAGCCCCAAGCUCGACUCCUCUUCCAUGCUGUUCAGCUGGAACCUGGUGGGAAGGAAAUUGCUGCUUUUGGGAAAUUUAUUCUGUACUCAGCAACUCUUGUCUUGUCCUUUCUCUUCUACUCUGCCCCAAAAGUGAAGCCUGAAAGGUCUGCAUGGACUGUCCUGAAAUGCCAACUGGCUGUCAAUGUCAUCCAUCAAGGGUCGAGCAAGGACUCACUGUGACAGACACCCUGCCUUGGAGAGAACCUGGGCUGGCUGUACUGAUCCCAGAGUGGUGCAACCUGGCACAGCAGCAAAAUGCAUCCAUGUCAAUGCUCCUGAUAGCAGCAGUCAAAGGAACACAGGCUGGGAACUCAUGGCUCUGUCCCUGCCUCUGGGUGACCGUAGGGAAAUUCUUUAUUGCCUCUCUGCUUCAGAGUCCUCUCCCUUACCUAGAGAAGAAAUCCAGUGUACCCCCAGCUGGGUAGUUGCAACAAAGAUAGAGCAGCACAUCGCUUGGGGCCUGUGAUUUAAAACUGGAUUUUCUUAUUCUGUACUAAUUUCACUGACUAUCACAAAUCUCUAUUUUUUUCAGUCAUGCAUUUAAAAAUCAGAAUAAGCAGACUGGGGCUGGAAGGAUUAAUAUGUUUCCUUUGAUACUAGAAUUCUAGUAUUUUGGACUGUGCACUGCAUUUCUUUUCUCCAAGACUGCAUAUAAAAUGCUAUUUGCUGACUUCUCAUCUAUAUAAUUAAAGCUAGCUCUAUUAUCAGAAGGAUUCUUAUGAGGCUUAGCUGCUCUCC